UAAAAAAUAUACAAAGUGUAGUUUCAAAAUAAUGGGAAACUUUUAUGGAGCAUAAGAUUUCUGCUAAAACAACAAAUCCAGCUAACUUUUCUCAAUGUUUUGUCCCUAAUGUUAGUCCCAUCAACAAAAUUGGUCGCUUUCUAAAAGCUUAUCUUAAAUUCAUUGAAGUUGCAGGAGCAAAUACUCUUAGGAAGAAGAAUGCAUGGACUUCAGUUCCUCAGCAGUUAUCAUGCAAGAGCUGAUGGAUCCAUCAUAUUUUCAUCAUCUUCAGUAUUAACCAUAAUGCUAUUUUCUGUGCCUAGUUCACACUACAAAAGACCCUUGCCCUGCAGAUCCUCUGAUUUUUGCAGCACGUUAUCAUGCACUGAACCAUUAGCUUUCCCCUGCGACAGCAAAACAUGAAUUUCAUCUGACUGCUUGCUUUUUGUUAGUUCAUUUUCAGGUGAGCUUGGUGGAGUGAAUGCCUGGGCCCAAGUGAAUCAGCCACUCUUACCUUACAUAAGAAAAUCAAUACGCCAAAGGUCAGGUAAUACAGAAAUAAGGAAACAAAAUAUAGGUUUAAAGAAAGGGCGUUUGUUUUGCACAAUAUUGUUUCAGUUAGUUCUUAAUAAGAGGCAUUUUAAGAGGAACAGCAAGAAUUAAUGCUAUUUAAUAUAAAUCUGUUACAGGCUAAAGAGUAGGUUUUAAACCCACCAAGCUCAUGAUUUAUCAGCUGCAAUGCUUUCAUCAAACAAAUUCUCGAUCAUCAGUUUUGCUGAGUGCUUCUUGAGCCUUGCAACUCCACAUGACAACAGAUUGAAAUAAAUCCUUGUAAAAUAGUCAAAAGCAGUAUAUAUUAACUAAAUAAACAUUAGAAAAGUAUAGCAUUAUAGCUCACUGUCUCAUUUUCUCGUAAAAAAAAUGGUAAUGACAAUAAGCCUUUCAUCAAACUUGUUACAUGGAUGCAACUGAAGUAACGGAACAAUCACAUUUUACGCAUGGAAUUAAAGCCACCGUAUGCAAUAAUGAAACCAUACAUAAAAUGGAAGCAGUAUCUUGCCCCAUGAAAAUAGAGAAGCUUUUCAUCAAAUACCUUUCAGGCAUUGAAGCAAUAGAUGAAACUUGUGGAGCAAUGGGUCUCUGGUACCAACUAAACAGGUCUCCAACGACUCUAGUAAACUUUCCCUGAACAAGUUCCACAGGAUUUGAAUUUUUCUCCUGAAACAUUUAUCCUACUUUCAGACUUCUUUAGUGUGAUAAAUCCAAGCUCCUCUAAUGCCCACACAACCCAUUCCGCAUCCAGUGGAGAAAAGAUGAAUGGCUGUGAUGGAAUUCGCAGAGCAUAACACCGAGACAAAAUCUCAAUCUGAAAUUGCAUAAAUAGCGUCCGCGGAAGCUAUACAUUAUCUCAAUAAACCAAGUAAAAUAGACCAAUUAUCCCUGUUGGCUAGCAGUUUCAAUGCAACAUAAUAAAAUAUGUGAAAUCUGAAAGAGCUGGAAGAUGGAAAGGUGAAUGCAUAACUGGAGCAAUUUUUCAAAUCAUGCAAAAAUGGAAAAAUAUUUUGAAAAUCAUGCAGAUCCAAAAAUAUUUUUGGAGAGAACGACACCAAAGUGGAGUUCGACACCAUGGGUGUCGAACUCUGCUGCCGAAGAAGCUAACAGCUUGGCCGAAAGAAAUGUUCGCCACUUAAGGUAACGAACAUUUCUGCCUGUCACGCACACAAAACUACGCUACGCCGCGUGGCUCUGCACGGACCUGCCUUGUGCAGGUCCGUGAAGCAUUUGAAAUAAACACCCUUUUGUGCAGGUCCGUGAAGCAUUUGAAAUAAACACCCUUUGGCUCUUCCUCUCAUUUUUCCGCAUCACCUUCAUCCUUCUUCUCAUUUUCUCUUCUUCCUCUGCAGCAGUAAAAACUCUCCACCGUUUUCUUCUCUUUUCUUCUUCCUCUCUGUAAAUUCUCUCCAUCUUAAGAUGCUCUGCACCCGUCUCCAUUUUGCGACUGAUAUGCGAAGAAUAUCA
RNAcentral lists this long non-coding RNA (1998 nucleotides) under Manihot esculenta (cassava). RNAcentral's name for it is "long non-coding RNA (MESC_LNC006124)". The record is from RNAcentral. Lineage: Eukaryota; Viridiplantae; Streptophyta; Magnoliopsida; Malpighiales; Euphorbiaceae.